CUCGUAGGCGGCCAACUAAGUCAGACGUGAAAUCCCUCGGCUUAACCGGGGAACUGCGUCUGAUACUGGAUGGCUGGAGGUUGGGAGAGGGAUGCGGAAUUCCAGGUGUAGCGGUGAAAUGCGUAGAUAUCUGGAGGAACACCGGUGGCGAAGGCGGCAUCCUGGACCAAUUCUGACGCUGAGGAGCGAAAGCCAGGGAGCAAACG
Molecule: ribosomal RNA, 206 nt
Filed under: uncultured bacterium
Lineage: Bacteria
Description: partial 16S ribosomal RNA
Rfam family: Bacterial small subunit ribosomal RNA
Source: RNAcentral